RNAcentral lists this unclassified non-coding RNA (2985 nucleotides) under Leishmania donovani. RNAcentral describes it as "gene:LdHU3.36.4510(CDS-product:hypothetical_prote in_conserved)". Lineage: Eukaryota; Euglenozoa; Kinetoplastea; Trypanosomatida; Trypanosomatidae. The record is from RNAcentral.
AGCCCGAGAAGGCGGAGAAAGAGGUAGAGAAAGAGUACUAUCGAGGUAUUUGCGUCCUUGAAAAAAAAAACGGCCUGUUCAUAUCUGCUUGCUUGCGUAUGCAUGUGCCGACGGUGUGCGCACACUACUUGCCUCUCCCUCCCUCCCUCCCUCUUGCCAUACGUGUGUGUGUCGGUGUGUUCGUUGUUGGCGUCCAUCUCAAACCACCCCUCGAGCACACGCGUGAAAGUACGGGUAGAUCGUUGCGCGGUCCUUUGCUUGCUUCCACCUUCAUCUCCUUCGCUUCUCAAGUGACCCACACACCCACAUCCACACCCACACACAAAAGGGGGCGAAAACACACGUUGUGCCUGCCUGCCUGCGCCGUUAUCGUUUUCCUAUGGCGGGCUUUGGCAUGGCGUACUCCAACGCUCCGCAGUACUCCCGUGGGGUACUGGUGGGCAACUGGUUCGAGGACAUUGCCCUCCGCGAAGAUCAGCUGAAGCUGUACAAGGCGCAACGACAUGCCGCAGUGGAGCACCCCGAGAAGGCGGCAACAAACGCCGUAGCGCGUUCGAUGCUCGCGAGUCAGCUGGAAGAGCCGACCACUGUCGUUGCAUUUAAGGGAGAUGAUGUGCGCAUAGGGCACCCCUACUUGUUGGUGAACGACAAGACACAGGCUGUUCUGGCUUUAGACCUAAUGACUGGCGGUGGUGCCUCCUCCCAGUCGCAGCAGUACACCCUGUCUGGUUCUUUGGCCCCUGGCCCGCAGGUGCGAUCCACCUGGACUCUGCUGCGGUGCAAAGACGAGCACAACCACAGCUACAACCGCAACAGCUCAGAUGUGCUGCACUACGGCCAGCGAGUUCGCAUCGCUAACGAAAACGUGAGCGCCGAGGGCUUCCUGUAUGUGCAGUCCUCCCUGUCAUCCGGCCUUCGCUCGUCUGAGGUGCAGUGCACCGUGGCCGCUCUCAACGCCUGCGCAGACAACGUGUUUGUAGUGAGCCGCGCCGGCACGGUGCGCGACGAUGUGCACUUCGGUUUCCCUGUGAAGGUUGGCGACGGCGUGGUGCUUCUGCACUCCCUCACAAACCUGCCUCUCGCCUGCAACGGUGAGCGCGUGGCCACGUCGUACGGCAUGGAGUACGCCGUCACGUGCGGCUACACCACCGACUACUGCUCUCGCUCUCGGGGGGCGGUCGUGGUGAAGCCGGAGAACGUCUUCUACUUCUCUGGCGGUGAUGGUACGGAUGCAGUGCUCAUGAGGCCAAGAACGUCCUCCAGGCACCAAAGCAGGGCAUCGGCCAUGCUCACAAUGACAGCUGGCACUGGUGUGAUGGCGUUGAUGGAGCGCAUUCGUCAGGGUGCCCUAGAGAUUGGUGGACGCAUCGGCUUUCGCUCCCUCUCCAUCGCCCUCGGCGUGGCGUGCAACGAGCAGCGGCAACGUCGCUUCCUUGACCGCAACGAGCUUCGCAAGGCGAUUGCUCGACUUGGUGUCCUUCUGAGUCCUAUCGAGAUGGAUGUACUCAUGAGGCACUUCGACACAACCGGCAACAACGUCGUGUGCGCACAGGACUUCCUGGCCGAGUUGCGCGGCACAAUGCCGCUGGCCCGCAUGCAGGCGGUCAUCUACGCGUACCAGCAGCUGAGCAUUGAGGGACGGGGAUCUGUUGAGUUCAAGGAUAUGCACAGUCUUUUCCGUCUCAACGCCGCCACAAUCCCGGAUGUCGUCAACGGCGUCCUUCAACGCGAGGAGGCUGUACUCGACUUCGAGAGUUGCUGGCCAGGACGUGUCGGGUGCAAGGUCGGCACCGUCACUCUUGACGAGUUUGUCGACUACUACGCAGAUGUGUCGCCCGCGGAGGAGUCUGACGAGCGCUUCUGCAAGCUGCUGCAGCAGUCGUGGGCUAUUCCCGUCACCUCUGCCUACCUGUCUGGCGAGCCGCACCGCCUCCUCACCGUGACGUACGACGACAAGCCGACUGAGACGGUGCGUCUUCCCGACUCACUGGUGCUGGACACACAAGACCGAAAGGCUGUGAAGCGCCUCCUGAUCCAACGUGGUCUACGUGGCGUGAAAGACUUCACUGUGUCCACCAGCAUGUAGAGUCUCACCAGGGAGAGAGGGGCGCACAGGGGAAGAAAUGCAUACAAGAAAGGUAUGGGCAGGGCGGGAAGGGGGACGUUGCGGAUGCCGGCAGUCGCUUUCUUCUCGGUUUUCAUUUGUACCUUUUCCGUCGCCUUCACCCCCACGUCCCCAUCACCUACUCGACUCCUCCUCGCAUAUCCAUAUUUCGGCUUUGCUUCCCCACCCUCAACCCCUUUUUUUUUUACUUUCCUGUGUCUUUUCAACGAUGCGUGCAAGUGUGUAUGUUGUUUGUCGCGUGCGUGUGCGUGUGCGCGCACGCCGGUCCUCCAACUCCUCAGUUGCUUUCACGCAAGUUAUGUACAUACGGUUAGGAAGCACGUGUGUCUGUGCGCGCGCUCCGUCUCCCUUUGUUGUCUUUCUGUUUUCUCGCCUCUUCUUCUCUCACACACCCUUCUUGAAGGCAAGCGGCACACAAGAAGGGAGAGGGGAGACAGGAGAGGCACAACUGCAACUGGCUUCAUUGCGACCCCAACCCCUCUGUCUGUAGCACACCCGCUAGGGAUACGCAGGAGGAGAAUAUGGGCCCCCUUCGGUUAGACGGAGCGUCAAUGCCUCUCUCUCUGUGUGGGCACUCACCUUAGCCUCCCUGCCCCUCCUUGUUUGCCCCUGCAGCAACGUGAAGCUACAUGGUGACAACGGCGCUCGCAACAGUCCCCUGAUGUCACUGCCCGUCAAAGCGGCACGUCUUCAGUGUGUGUGUGUGUGUGGUACAGACGCAUGGUUCUCCCCUCCUCAGCCCACCGUCCAAACCAUUUUGCUGCUCUUUGCUUUCUCUCUCUCUCUCUCCUUGCCGCUUCUGCCUCUUCCUCUCCCGUUCAACACGGCCGCCAACCACGAAUGGUUGCCUCCGCGCGCAG